GAUCCGGUGGCCUAGUAGUGAGAGCGUCCACCUCGGAUGCGGGAGGUCGUGGGUUCGAAUCCAGGUCGAGUUG
Potamilus streckersoni is the source of this 73-nucleotide non-coding RNA. Lineage: Eukaryota; Metazoa; Mollusca; Bivalvia; Unionida; Unionidae. The record is from the annotation of a GenBank genome assembly.